RNAcentral lists this ribosomal RNA (460 nucleotides) under uncultured bacterium. Its description in RNAcentral is "partial 16S ribosomal RNA". It matches the Rfam family "Bacterial small subunit ribosomal RNA", at positions 338 to 795 of the family's 1533-position model. The record is from RNAcentral.
CCUACGGGUGGCAGCAGUGAGGAAUAUUGGUCAAUGGACGAGAGUCUGAACCAGCCAAGUAGCGUGAAGGAUGACUGCCCUAUGGGUUGUAAACUUCUUUUAUAAAGGAAUAAAACGAGGCACGUGUGCCUUUUUGCAUGUACUUUAUGAAUACGGAGCGGCUAACUCCGUGCCAGCAGCCGCGGUAAUCCUGAGGAUCCGAGCGUUAUCCGGAUUUAUUGGGUGUAAAGGGAGCGUAGAUGGGUUGUUAAGUCAGUUGUGAAAGUUUGCGGCUCAACCGUAAAAUUGCAAUUGAUACUGGCAGUCGUGAGUACAGUUGAGGUAGGCGGAAUUCGUGGUGUAGCGGUGAAAUGCUUAGAUAUCACGAAGAACCCUGAUUGCGAAGGCAGCUUACUAAACUGUGACUGACAUUGAGGCUCGAAAGUGUGGGUAUCAAACAGGAUUAGAUACCCCAGUAGUC